UGAAGUCAGAAAAAAAGUUUUUUCCUUGUUUUCAAGGACAGUUGUUGGUUCAGAAUAAUAGCUUGAAAGUAAACAAGCACAUCUCACCACCACCAAUGAAAACAUCAUCUUUAACAAGAGUUCUAUCAUCUGUGAAUGAGACUACAUCUAAAGUUAGAAUCAAUUUAUAGUACAAUGGCAGCCACAACAACUAAAACAUGCCUGUUGAAAGCAUUAGUACCAAAAUUUGGUGCCAACCCCUGUAUACAUAUGUAAUGAGCAAAAGGAGGACACGGAAAUGCCAAGAACACUGGGAUCGACGAAAGAUGAUUAACAGCAAAGCACAAACAAAGCUUUCCAUUUGAUUCAGUCUGGAACCCGGACCUCCAAUGUCAAUAAAUUUGGACAAGGAUAUCACUGAUUUCACCCCGUCCUGGGCAUCAAAGAUUUUCAAGCUUUCCAACAGUUAAAUAUCUACAGAGGGAAAACUCAUCGUCUGCAUCCACCCAGAGAAUAUAGCUGACCAAAGUGCUUGCAAACCAUGGAAAUCCCUACUAGACUGAAGAGGUGGAGGUCGGAGACUCUGAACACAUCAACCUUGCUCACUUACCACCCACCCAGUUUGAGGUACGCAAUUUAAUGCAUGAUGUCCUGGCGCUUCCCUUUCAAAAUCACCAGAUUGCAGCUUUUCCUGAUCUUAGUGCCACGAUUGCUUGAACCUGAAGCUCUCACUGUCCCAUCCUCCCU
This 726-nucleotide unclassified non-coding RNA is filed under the name Hevea brasiliensis (rubber tree). Lineage: Eukaryota; Viridiplantae; Streptophyta; Magnoliopsida; Malpighiales; Euphorbiaceae. The record is from RNAcentral.